AGCCGCCUGAGGUUGGAUCUAGAACAGAGCAAUGAAUCAGCCAGCAAGAUCACAGGGACAUGGUAUGUGAAGGCCAUGGUGGUUGACAAGGACCUACCUAAGGAGAAGAGGCCCAGGAAGGUGUCCCCUUUGAUGGUUACUGUCCUGGAUGGUGGAGACGUGGAGGCCAUUUUCACCUUCAUAUGGGGGCAAGAGGCAUAUGGACACCCGGGAGCUGUCAGUGAAGGACCACCACAUCUUUUACUGCGAGGGCCAGCUUCAAGGGAA
Molecule: long non-coding RNA, 267 nt
Organism: Diceros bicornis minor
Lineage: Eukaryota; Metazoa; Chordata; Mammalia; Perissodactyla; Rhinocerotidae
Exons: 3
Source: RefSeq, a predicted model, not a curated record